UAGAAAGUAGUUAUUACUUUAUGGUUCCUUGCUUUUGUAUGUGUAGCGAGAUUCUAGACAUGUUUACCCAACUUUACACACCAACUUAUUCAAUGUGUUUUCAGCCAAAAUAGU
Molecule: unclassified non-coding RNA, 114 nt
Filed under: uncultured fungus
Lineage: Eukaryota; Fungi
Description: sequence contains ITS1
Source: RNAcentral